UGGUUGCAGGACAUCCACUUUUACAGUGCC
Molecule: non-coding RNA, 30 nt
Filed under: Rattus norvegicus (Norway rat)
Lineage: Eukaryota; Metazoa; Chordata; Mammalia; Rodentia; Muridae
Source: RNAcentral